CAAUAGCGUAUAUUAAAGUUGUUGCAGUUAAAAAGCUCGUAGUUGGAUUUCUGGUUGAAGCGACCGGUCGGGCGUUGAUUCGUCUGCACUGGAGUCGGUUUUGGCCAUCCUCUAGGAAAGUGCGUCUGGUAUUAAGUUAUCGGGCGUAUGAUCCUGGUCUUUUACUGUGAAAAAAUUAGAGUGUUUAAAGCAGGCCUUCGCCUUGAAUACAUUAGCAUGGAAUAAUAAGAUAGGACUUUGGUCUAUUUUGUUGGUUUGCAGACCGAAGUAAUGAUUAAUAGGGAUAGUUGGGGGUAUUUAUAUUCCGAUGUCAGAGGUGAAAUUCUUAGAUUUUCGGAAGAUAAACUUAUGCGAAAGCAUUUACCAAGGAUGUUNUCAUUAA
RNAcentral lists this ribosomal RNA (382 nucleotides) under uncultured eukaryote. RNAcentral describes it as "partial 18S ribosomal RNA". It matches the Rfam family "Eukaryotic small subunit ribosomal RNA", at positions 592 to 976 of the family's 1831-position model. The record is from RNAcentral.